Chloebia gouldiae (Gouldian finch) is the source of this 502-nucleotide long non-coding RNA. NCBI's taxonomy places the organism in Eukaryota, Metazoa, Chordata, Aves, Passeriformes, Passeridae. The record is from Ensembl.
UCUCCCAGCUGGGAACAAGUUCUGGGUAUUAUCCAGUCAAACCAGUUUGUGUCCUGUGACUGAUACAUGAAACUGUAAGGAGCAGGUGCAUUUGUUUUUCACCCUCAGAAUAGGUUGUUUCAUUAGCAGAGUUCUCAUCCUCAAAAUAGCUUCACAUGGGAAUGUGCAAACUGCUGGAUAGCUGCACGUGGAAGAGGUGACAGGGCAGCUUUGGCGAAGCCAGGCCUGACUUCAUAAGGCCUUUUUUAAAUAAUUCUCCCUGUCUACCACACCUGAAUGAACCUGGGGACAGACAGGUGCAUCUUGCCACUUCAUAAGCAGAGGUCUGGACAUCCUUUGACAUUCCUGGGGCUCCUGUGCCCCUCUGCUGCCCAGAACUCACUGAUGAUCACAAUCAAAUAUAUUACCUACACCUGGAAAAUUACAAUGAUGAGUGAGAACCUUAUGGCAUAAGGAAGUGUGCUGCUUCUACCUCUGCUCUCAGCAAGUGAAAGGAAGUGGG